This is a long non-coding RNA of Drosophila biarmipes, 472 nucleotides long. RefSeq lists it as uncharacterized. The record is from RefSeq and is a predicted model, not a curated record. The transcript has 2 exons. Lineage: Eukaryota; Metazoa; Arthropoda; Insecta; Diptera; Drosophilidae.
UACUUAUUUGGCGAUUGAUAAUAAUUUCAAAUCCUACCAUUGCUAAUAUUAAUUACCAAAGCCAAUUCUUUUCGAAAAGCGUGUUCAAUAAGCGUGCUGAGUAAGCUCUAUAAAAAGCUUUUCCCAUUUUAUAUGGUUUCAAAAUUACCUUAAAUCAACUGGUUAAAGUGUUCAUUUUUUAAAAUGAAGCCGAUUUUUUUUGCUCUGUUAAUAACCUUUUUUGGUUUUACCAUGGGCCUAAAAGAUCCCAUUUGCGGUACGAAAAUAAUAUCUUCUGGGAUCUGUAUGAGGCUGCAUUCAGGCUUUACUUAUUUGGCGAUUGAUAAUAAGUGUAUUCCAGCUUACGCAGGCUGCAUGGGCAGUGGUAACUUUUUCGGUAGCACAGCUGAAUGUGAAGCAAAAUGCAAGAAAUAAGAAAGAACGUGUUACUGACAAGCACAAAUAAAUCAUAUAAUUUUUAUCAGAUAAAAUA